ACCCAAAAAUCGAAUAGAAAAGCUGUGCCCUCUCUUUCACGCGGCAAUUCCCUUUGCAGCUUUCGUGGUUCGCAAGCAGCUCCGAUUAGGUUUCCGGUCUCGAAUCUGUUCCUCCAAUGGCGACGGUAGCAUCUGCAGGACUCAAUGAUAUUAGUAAUAGCAAGAGUCCGCUUGGAGAAAACCCUAGUCAAACCCUAGACCCGACGAUUUCUUCCUCUGCCCAGCCUCCUGCCUCCGUUCCGUCUUCGUCAACUGAUGGCGGGUCAUCCAAGGACAGGGACGAGUCCAAGGGCUCCGGUAAGGCGUCGGUUGAAGGUGAUGGUGCACCGGUUUCUGAUGUCCAGAGGAAAAUGCGCCGUGCCGAGCGUUUUGGGAUCUCAGUGCAAUUGUCUGAAGAAGAAAAGCGUAAUUCUCGAGCGGAACGGUUUGGUAUGGGUACCGCAACUAAUGGAUUGGGAGCAUCUAAUAAGACAGAGGAGGUGAAGAGAAAGGCAAGAGCUGAGAGAUUUGGGCUUUCUGCAUCUGUGACUACUGAUGAUGAGGCAAAGAAGAAAGCUCGUCUUGCUAGGUUUUCAUCAACAUCAAAGCCAGACCCCCAGGAAGAAGAGAAGAGGAAAGCAAGGGCAAUCAGGUUUUCUAAUCCAACAUCAAACUCUCCCACACAAAUGGAUGGGAAAGGAAACGUUGAGACGAUUGCAGAUGUUGCAGGCAAGGCUGGAGGUGGUGCCUGAAAAGAACAUUCCCUUUUGAUGGCAAGAUAGCUUUUGCUUGUAAAUUUUUUUUGUGGUCUAGUAUCCUGGUUAUGAUUCCCUGUAAUGGCUUUCGUACCCAUAUGCAUUCCUACAUAAUAUUAUCUAGUUCAAAAGUCUUCCAUUCUGAGGGCAGAUUCCAUACUGCAAGGUGCUGUACUACGUGUUGAUGAGAGAUGAGGUUCCCUACAUUCGGUUGUGUCAGGAUAUUAAUUCUCUGGUUAGGUGUUAUAUUGUAGCAAAUACCUCCCUAGGUCAAACCUAUCUUACAAGUUUAUUAAAGAAUGUCAGAAAUUUCUGAAGUUUUUAGCCCUCCAAUGUUUUGAUUAUCAUCUUCAGUUUAUAUCUCCUUUGUGAUGACAAGUUGGAUAUUCAUGAUAUCAUUUGAACGGCAGUGUUAAGUUUCCAUGUGCAUUGGUACCAUCUGAUACUGACCAGUUGAAAUUUUACUAAUUUGUCAAAUUGACCUUCAGGAUUAGAAAGUUAACGUAUCUUGCUUUCCUUUGAGUUACUAUCAUUAGGUUUUUAGUUUUCUAACUGUAAUUUAGCUUGAAUUUUUAGGUUGUUCCUUUUUCAAUGAUAGGUUUUUACUUUGCUGACGGUAAUAGUUUAAGACUAAUGGCAAACUCUCAAUGUUAAACGUGCAUGUAUAUCUUUUGCCUUUAUUAUCCAAUCACUUAUGUUUGAAGUUUGGUCACUUUGUAUGAUGCCGGCACGUCUCAUCUCAUGGCAUCACUUAUAUUACUCAUCAUGGGAAUGACUACUACACUGCACUCUUUGAACACCUAGUUUUACUAUAACCUGCAGAACACUUCGAUUAGAAUGGACAUGUGUUGAUUGUUAUUUAGAACUGCCGUUCAAAAUGUCAUCAUGAGAUGCUAGCUCCAACUUGUUUAAGAAUAAACUGAAGAUAAGUCUUGGAAGGGGAAGAAAUUAUCAGUUCUGUUGGUAAGUGGUCGUGUGGGAGAGGCUGAAUUCUCUCUUCUAACUUAGAAGUUUCUGAUAUUCUUGUUUGGUGUAAUAUAGGAUAGGCCGCAUCUUUGGAGGUAUUUGUUGGCUCUCUUAGAAGUCUGCAUGUAUUGAGGUCUGUAGCUGAGAAUGGAUCGUACUCUAAAAAUAGGUUUCUCUUCAAGUUUUUAUUGUUUCUUUCUUCUUUUCCUUUUAUCUUUAUUUGCUUAGCUACUUAGCAGCUACAUGUAGUUAGUUUCUUUUGGAUUUUUGGUUGGAUGUAAUGGUAUGGAAGGACAACAAUAUUAAUUGAGGGAAUCGGUAUUUUGAUCAAAA
Molecule: RNA transcript, 2033 nt
Organism: Benincasa hispida (wax gourd)
Lineage: Eukaryota; Viridiplantae; Streptophyta; Magnoliopsida; Cucurbitales; Cucurbitaceae
Gene: MOS11
Gene name: Protein MODIFIER OF SNC1 11
Source: RefSeq, a predicted model, not a curated record